Long non-coding RNA from Mauremys reevesii (Reeves's turtle), 563 nucleotides. RefSeq lists it as uncharacterized. The transcript is spliced from 3 exons. The record is from RefSeq and is a predicted model, not a curated record. NCBI's taxonomy places the organism in Eukaryota, Metazoa, Chordata, Testudines, Geoemydidae.
GCCAGCAAGCUGAUAACAGCAGAGGGCUACAGAGGAAGUAGUCUUCAGUUGUUCCCUGGGAGGAGGGAGUUUGGGAUGGUAAACCCAAAGGAGGGGGCCAGAAGAGAUGAAGGAGUCCUGGGAAAUCACAAUAGGGCCUGGGAGCCAGUAGACAAUAGUUGCUGGACAGGGUCCCUGGGCUGGAAUUCAGAGUAGACAGCAGGCCUGAUUUCCCCUACCAGCCCCUGGGAAAGUGGUACAGACCUAGCCUUGGGCCAGAAGACUGUGUAGAGCAGAGGACAGAGUGGGAUUUUGAUACCCUGGAAGGGGAGAACAAUACAGUGAAUGGGCUGGAGUGCGGAGUCAUGAAGAGGGAGCACCAUCGAGAGGGGGCAUCUGACCAGAAAGGAGCUAAUCCCCAGAUGCAGCCAUAUGGCAGGACCCCAAGGAUGAGCAGGCCCAUUCCAGCUCCCACUGAAGCUGAUGGAAUGCCUGCAACAGGAGCUGGAUCAGAUCCUUGGGUCACCCAGAAACCGCUACCAGGAAAUCCGAACUCUUAUGUGCUGCAUCAUCUGACACUUUAU